GCCUUGAUGGUGAAAUGGUAGACACGCGAGACUCAAAAUCACGUCUCAAUGAGCGCGGAGGUUCGAGUCCUCUUCAAGGCA
RNAcentral lists this transfer RNA (81 nucleotides) under Capsicum annuum. It matches the Rfam family "tRNA". Rfam says of the family: Transfer RNA (tRNA) molecules are approximately 80 nucleotides in length. Their secondary structure includes four short double-helical elements and three loops (D, anti-codon, and T loops). Lineage: Eukaryota; Viridiplantae; Streptophyta; Magnoliopsida; Solanales; Solanaceae. The record is from Rfam by way of RNAcentral.